Molecule: ribosomal RNA, 420 nt
Filed under: uncultured Flavobacterium sp.
Lineage: Bacteria; Pseudomonadati; Bacteroidota; Flavobacteriia; Flavobacteriales; Flavobacteriaceae
Description: bacterial SSU rRNA
Rfam family: Bacterial small subunit ribosomal RNA
Source: RNAcentral
GAGGAAUAUUGGACAAUGGGCGCAAGCCUGAUCCAGCCAUGCCGCGUGCAGGAAGACGGUCCUAUGGAUUGUAAACUGCUUUUGUACAGGAAGAAACACUCCCUCGUGAGGGAGCUUGACGGUACUGUAAGAAUAAGGAUCGGCUAACUCCGUGCCAGCAGCCGCGGUAAUACGGAGGAUCCAAGCGUUAUCCGGAAUCAUUGGGUUUAAAGGGUCCGUAGGCGGCUUUAUAAGUCAGUGGUGAAAGCCCAUCGCUCAACGAUGGAACGGCCAUUGAUACUGUAGAGCUUGAAUUAUUAGGAAGUAACUAGAAUAUGUAGUGUAGCGGUGAAAUGCUUAGAGAUUACAUGGAAUACCAAUUGCGAAGGCAGGUUACUACUAAUGGAUUGACGCUGAUGGACGAAAGCGUGGGGAGCGAAC